Molecule: ribosomal RNA, 366 nt
Filed under: uncultured eukaryote
Lineage: Eukaryota
Description: partial 18S ribosomal RNA
Rfam family: Eukaryotic small subunit ribosomal RNA
Source: RNAcentral
CAAUAGCGUAUAUUAAAGUUGUUGCAGUUAAAAAGCUCGUAGUUGAAUUUCUGGCGGGCGCGCCGGUCUUCCAAGUGUUGUACUGGGCGCAGUCCGCCAUCCUUGUGGAGAGGGCUCGCACUGAGUUGCGUGUCGGAUCUGCAUCAUUUACUGUGAAAAAAUUAGAGUGUUUAAAGCAGGCUGUCGCUUGAAUACAUUAGCAUGGAAUAAUAAGAUAGGACUUCGGUCUAUUUUGUUGGUUGCGAACCGAGGUAAUGAUUAAUAGGGAUAGUUGGGGGUAUUCAUAUUUAAUUGUCAGAGGUGAAAUUCUUGGAUUUAUGAAAGAUGAACAACUGCGAAAGCAUUUACCAAGGAUGUUUUCAUUAA